GACGAACGCUGGCGGCAUGCCUAACACAUGCAAGUCUAGGGGUAGCAAUACCACUGGCGCACGGGUGAGUAACACGUAGGUUAUCUGCCCCCAUCACAGACAUAACCCCGGGAAACCGGGGCUAAUAUCUGAUGAGGUCGCGAGAUCAAAGCUUCGGCGGAUGGGGAUGAGCCUGCGGCUGAUUAGCUAGUUGGUGAGGUAAUGGCUCACCAAGGCGACGAUCAGUAGCUGGUCUGAGAGGACGAACAGCCACACUGGAACUGAGACACGGUCCAGACUCCUACGGGAGGCAGCAGUGAGGAAUAUUGGUCAAUGGGAGCAAUCCUGAACCAGCAAUGCCGCGUGUGGGAUGACAGGGCUUCGCCUUGUAAACCACUGUCGGACGGGACGAAAGGAGGCCUCGGGGCCUCUGGGGACGGUACCGGUCAAAGGAAGGGUCGGCUAACUACGUGCCAGCAGCCGCGGUAAU
Molecule: ribosomal RNA, 469 nt
Filed under: uncultured bacterium
Lineage: Bacteria
Description: bacterial SSU rRNA
Rfam family: Bacterial small subunit ribosomal RNA
Source: RNAcentral